This 1413-nucleotide ribosomal RNA is filed under the name metagenome. RNAcentral describes it as "bacterial SSU rRNA". It matches the Rfam family "Bacterial small subunit ribosomal RNA". The record is from RNAcentral.
AGAGUUUGAUCAUGGCUCAGGACGAACGCUGGCGGCGCGCCUAACACAUGCAAGUCGAACGAGAGAUGAGGAGCUUGCUCUUCAAAUCGAGUGGCGAACGGGUGAGUAACGCGUGAAGAACCUGCCUCAAAGAGGGGGACAACAGUUGGAAACGACUGCUAAUACCGCAUAAGCCCACGGCUCGGCAUCGAGCAGAGGGAAAAGGAGCAAUCCGCUUUGAGAUGGCCUCGCGUCCGAUUAGCUAGUUGGUGAGGUAACGGCCCACCAAGGCGACGAUCGGUAGCCGGACUGAGAGGUUGAACGGCCACAUUGGGACUGAGACACGGCCCAGACUCCUACGGGAGGCAGCAGUGGGGAAUAUUGCACAAUGGGGGAAACCCUGAUGCAGCGACGCCGCGUGGAGGAAGAAGGUCUUCGGAUUGUAAACUCCUGUUGUUGAGGAAGAUAAUGACGGUACUCAACAAGGAAGUGACGGCUAACUACGUGCCAGCAGCCGCGGUAAAACGUAGGUCACAAGCGUUGUCCGGAAUUACUGGGUGUAAAGGGAGCGCAGGCGGGAGAACAAGUUGGAAGUGAAAUCCAUGGGCUCAACCCAUGAACUGCUUUCAAAACUGUUUUUCUUGAGUAGUGCAGAGGUAGGCGGAAUUCCCGGUGUAGCGGUGGAAUGCGUAGAUAUCGGGAGGAACACCAGUGGCGAAGGCGGCCUACUGGGCACCAACUGACGCUGAGGCUCGAAAGUGUGGGUAGCAAACAGGAUUAGAUACCCUGGUAGUCCACACCGUAAACGAUGAUUACUAGGUGUUGGAGGAUUGACCCCUUCAGUGCCGCAGUUAACACAAUAAGUAAUCCACCUGGGGAGUACGACCGCAAGGUUGAAACUCAAAGGAAUUGACGGGGGCCCGCACAAGCAGUGGAGUAUGUGGUUUAAUUCGACGCAACGCGAAGAACCUUACCAAGUCUUGACAUCCCUUGACGAUGCUGGAAACAGUAUUUCUCUUCGGAGCAAGGAGACAGGUGGUGCAUGGUUGUCGUCAGCUCGUGUCGUGAGAUGUUGGGUUAAGUCCCGCAACGAGCGCAACCCUUAUGGUCAGUUACUACGCAAGAGGACUCUGGCCAGACUGCCGUUGACAAAACGGAGGAAGGUGGGGAUGACGUCAAAUCAUCAUGCCCUUUAUGACUUGGGCUACACACGUACUACAAUGGCGUUAAACAAAGAGAAGCAAGACCGCGAGGUGGAGCAAAACUCAGAAGCAACGUCCCAGUUCGGACUGCAGGCUGCAACUCGCCUGCACGAAGUCGGAAUUGCUAGUAAUCGUGGAUCAGCAUGCCACGGUGAAUACGUUCCCGGGCCUUGUACACACCGCCCGUCACACCAUGAGAGCCGGGGGGACCCGAAGUCGGUAGUCUAACCGC